UUUUGUUUUUUUGUUUUUUAAAAAUUUCAUUAUGUCCUUCUUCAUGCCUGUUCCAGAGAUGGCUAACUUUCAACUAAAAUUUCUCCUUUUUUUUUUUCCCAUAGUGAGGAAAUUUCACUGGAAGAUACUUUUUCUAGCUCCUCCUGUAUCUAACUAAGGUCGUGGGACUAGUUCCUGUUAGUGGAAUUUGAACAAAAAUGGCUUGAUUUUUAUAAAGCCUUGGACUAAAAUGAAAACAAUUGAAUUGGAAACUUUGUAUCACCCACUUCAGGGAAUAUUACAACAGCUUCUACUAUGGACUCAAGUGCAUUUAAAGGAAAUAUAUUCCCAGGAAUUCAAAGCUCAUAAAGAGAACUGA
RNAcentral lists this long non-coding RNA (358 nucleotides) under Vulpes vulpes (red fox). Its description in RNAcentral is "lncRNA (ENSVVUG00000001323.1)". The record is from RNAcentral. Lineage: Eukaryota; Metazoa; Chordata; Mammalia; Carnivora; Canidae.